This 492-nucleotide ribosomal RNA is filed under the name uncultured bacterium. RNAcentral describes it as "partial 16S ribosomal RNA". It matches the Rfam family "Bacterial small subunit ribosomal RNA", at positions 28 to 507 of the family's 1533-position model. The record is from RNAcentral.
GACGAACGCUGGCGGCGUGCUUAACACAUGCAAGUGGAGCGACGAACCAGGGCUUGCCCUGGGGCAGAGCCGCGAACGGGUGAGUAACACGUGGGUAACGUGCCCCGAUGACUGGGACAACCCGGGGAAACCCGGGCUAAUACCGGAUGUUCCCCCUCACAUCAGUGAGGUGUGUAAAGGAAGCUUCGGCCUCCGCAUCGGGAUCGGCCCGCGGCCCAUUAGCUUGUUGGUGAGGUAACGGCUCACCAAGGCUGCGAUGGGUAGCUGGUCUGAGAGGACGAUCAGCCACACUGGGACUGAGACACGGCCCAGACUCCUACGGGAGGCAGCAGUGGGGAAUCUUGCGCGAUGCGCGAAAGCGUGACGCAGCAACGCCGCGUGGGGGAAGACGGCCUUCGGGUUGUAAAGCCCUUUCAGUUGGGACGAAGGUCGGGCGGUUAACAGCCGUUCCGGCUGACGGUACCUUCACAAGAAGCCCCGGCUAACUACGUG